GGUUGCUUAGUGUAGUGGUUACCACAUUGGAUUUUGAUUCCAAUAACCUGGGUUCGAUCCCCAGAGCAACCU
Molecule: transfer RNA, 72 nt
Filed under: Aspergillus terreus
Lineage: Eukaryota; Fungi; Ascomycota; Eurotiomycetes; Eurotiales; Aspergillaceae
Also listed under: 1 other name
Description: tRNA-Gln
Rfam family: tRNA
About the family: Transfer RNA (tRNA) molecules are approximately 80 nucleotides in length. Their secondary structure includes four short double-helical elements and three loops (D, anti-codon, and T loops). Further hydrogen bonds mediate the characteristic L-shaped molecular structure. tRNAs have two regions of fundamental functional importance: the anti-codon, which is responsible for specific mRNA codon recognition, and the 3' end, to which the tRNAs corresponding amino acid is attached (by aminoacyl-tRNA synthetases). tRNAs cope with the degeneracy of the genetic code in two manners: having more than one tRNA (with a specific anti-codon) for a particular amino acid; and 'wobble' base-pairing, i.e. permitting non-standard base-pairing at the 3rd anti-codon position.
Source: RNAcentral